This 254-nucleotide ribosomal RNA is filed under the name uncultured bacterium. RNAcentral describes it as "partial 16S ribosomal RNA". It matches the Rfam family "Bacterial small subunit ribosomal RNA", at positions 524 to 776 of the family's 1533-position model. The record is from RNAcentral.
UACGGAGGAUCCAAGCGUUAUCCGGAAUCAUUGGGUUUAAAGGGUCCGUAGGCGGUUUAGUAAGUCAGUGGUGAAAGCCCAUCGCUCAACGGUGGAACGGCCAUUGAUACUGCAAGACUUGAAUUAUUGGGAAGCAACUAGAAUAUGUAGUGUAGCGGUGAAAUGCUUAGAUAUUACAUGGAAUACCAAUUGCGAAGGCAGGUUGCUACCAAUACAUUGACGCUGAUGGAGCGAAAGCGUGGGGAGCAAACAGG